This 399-nucleotide RNase P RNA is filed under the name Bacteroidota bacterium. RNAcentral's name for it is "Bacteroidetes bacterium RNase P RNA component class A". It matches the Rfam family "Bacterial RNase P class A". Rfam says of the family: Ribonuclease P (RNase P) is a ubiquitous endoribonuclease, found in archaea, bacteria and eukarya as well as chloroplasts and mitochondria. Lineage: Bacteria; Pseudomonadati; Bacteroidota. The record is from RNAcentral.
AUUGCAAGCCGUCUUAUCGCUCUUCGAUUUAUCGAGGGGAGGAAAGUCCGAGCAACACAGAGCACCGUACCUUGAGAAACCAAGGGUCUUGAUGUAAAAAUCAGGAACAGAUAGUGCCACAGAAAACAGGUAGCCUUAACGCUUGUCGUUGGGGUCAUAGUGAAAAGGUGGGGUAAGAGCCCACCGUCUUGGAUAGUAAUAUUCGAGUGCACGGUAAACCUUUCGGGUUGUAAGGUCACAUACAUUUUUGCUUCCGCAUCUAUUUAUAGCUGCGGGAUAAGGGCUGCUCGUCCGAAAAUCCUGAUUCAGGGUGGUAAAAAGGGGUAGACUGCGUUAGAUAAAUGAUAAGAGUCCGUCUUUUGACGGAAACAGAACUCGGCUUAUAGGCUUGCAAUUUUU